GCACCUGAUCCAGCCAUGCCGCGUGAGUGAUGAAGGCCUUAGGGUCGUAAAGCUCUUUCGCCUGUGAAGAUAAUGACUGUAGCAGGUAAAGAAACCCCGGCUAACUCCGUGCCAGCAGCCGCGGUAAUACGGAGGGGGUUAGCGUUGUUCGGAAUUACUGGGCGUAAAGCGCGCGUAGGCGGACUGGAAAGUUGGGGGUGAAAUCCCAGGGCUCAACCCUGGAACUGCCUCCAAAACUAUCAGUCUAGAGUUCGAGAGAGGUGAGUGGAAUUCCGAGUGUAGAGGUGAAAUUCGUAGAUAUUCGGAGGAACACCAGUGGCGAAGGCGGCUCACUGGCUCGAUACUGACGCUGAGGUGCGAAAGUGUGGGGAGCAAACAGGAUUAGAUACCCUGGUAGUCCACACCGUAAACGAUGAAUGCCAGUCGUCGGGUAGCAUGCUAUUCGGUGACACACCUAACGGAUUAAGCAUUCCGCCUGGGGAGUACGGUCGCAAGAUUAAAACUCAAAUG
This 510-nucleotide ribosomal RNA is filed under the name Ruegeria sp. Its description in RNAcentral is "bacterial SSU rRNA". It matches the Rfam family "Bacterial small subunit ribosomal RNA", at positions 379 to 907 of the family's 1533-position model. The record is from RNAcentral. Lineage: Bacteria; Pseudomonadati; Pseudomonadota; Alphaproteobacteria; Rhodobacterales; Roseobacteraceae.